This 460-nucleotide ribosomal RNA is filed under the name uncultured bacterium. RNAcentral describes it as "partial 16S ribosomal RNA". It matches the Rfam family "Bacterial small subunit ribosomal RNA", at positions 338 to 795 of the family's 1533-position model. The record is from RNAcentral.
CCUACGGGAGGCAGCAGUGAGGAAUAUUGGUCAAUGGACGCAAGUCUGAACCAGCCAUGCCGCGUGCAGGAAGACGGCUCUAUGAGUUGUAAACUGCUUUUGUACGAGGAUAAACGCAGAUACGCGUAUCUUUCUGUAAGUAUCGUACGAAUAAGGAUCGGCUAACUCCGUGCCAGCAGCCGCGGUAAUACGGAGGAUUCAAGCGUUAUCCGGAUUUAUUGGGUUUAAAGGGUGCGUAGGCGGUCGGAUAAGUUAGAGGUGAAAUCCCGAGGCUCAACUUCGGAAUUGCCACUGAUACUGGUCGGCUAGAGAGCAGUUGCGGUAGGCGGAAUGUAUGGUGUAGCGGUGAAAUGCUUAGAGAUCACACAGAACACCGAUUGCGAAGGCAGCUUACCAAGCUACUUCUGACGUUGAGGCACGAAAGCGUGGGGAGCAAACAGGAUUAGAUACCCGUGUAGUC